AGUAAUACAUCGGAACGUACCCAGUAUGGGGGGAUAGCUCGGCGAAAGCCGGAUUAAUACCGCAUACGACCUAUGGGUGAAAGCGGGGGAUCGCAAGACCUCGCGCUAUUGGAGCGGCCGAUGUCGGAUUAGCUAGUUGGUGAGGUAAAGGCUCACCAAGGCUACGAUCCGUAGCUGGUCUGAGAGGACGACCAGCCACACUGGGACUGAGGCACGGCCCAG
Molecule: ribosomal RNA, 222 nt
Filed under: uncultured bacterium
Lineage: Bacteria
Description: partial 16S ribosomal RNA
Rfam family: Bacterial small subunit ribosomal RNA
Source: RNAcentral